This 196-nucleotide ribosomal RNA is filed under the name uncultured bacterium. RNAcentral's name for it is "partial 16S ribosomal RNA". It matches the Rfam family "Bacterial small subunit ribosomal RNA", at positions 521 to 716 of the family's 1533-position model. The record is from RNAcentral.
UAAUACGAAGGGGGCUAGCGUUGCUCGGAAUCACUGGGCGUAAAGCGCACGUAGGCGGUCUUUUAAGUCAGGGGUGAAAUCCUGGAGCUCAACUCCAGAACUGCCUUUGAUACUGAGAGACUUGAGUCCGGGAGAGGUGAGUGGAACUGCGAGUGUAGAGGUGAAAUUCGUAGAUAUUCGCAAGAACACCAGUGGC